UAACCCUUGCAUAAAGCAAUGCUGAACGCACAGAAGUCAGCAGAGGUCAUAGUAGGAGUCAAGGC
Clostridium sp. SY8519 is the source of this 65-nucleotide non-coding RNA. NCBI's taxonomy places the organism in Bacteria, Bacillati, Bacillota, Clostridia, Eubacteriales, Clostridiaceae. The record is from Rfam.